GAGAGAGAGAAACACAUAGCAGCGCAUGCACACUUAUACUCAGAAAUUCUCCCAGGCCACUCCUCUUUCCACCUGCUGCUCCCACAGUUUCGUUCCUAGCCUCUCGUAGAAUUUCUUUCGAUAAAAAGGGGAGAAAAGAGCGGGACAAGCUCCUAUGUGUUUUGUAUACGUAAAUACUUGCACACGAAAACGAGAGGAUCGUUUGCGUUCGGUAAAAUCUUAUGUUAGUGAGAAUCAGGCCUUCUCUUCUGGAUAGAAACCAAUACUAUAUCGAUGGAGAAGACCGUGAAGCGAAAGUGAACUGUAUUUUCUCUCUCUCUCUCUCUCUCUCGUACGCACACGCACACGUAUACAUAUAUUUGAAUAUAUAUAUAUAUAUAUAUAUAUAUACGCAAGCGUACAAACAGUUAUCGUCGUCUACUAGCGCAACGACAACGUCCUUGGCGGGAUAUUUAAAAAACUACUCUACUGCUAAUUCGAAUUUCUUCGAAAUUCGAACCAGCUUAAAUUCAAUAAGAUUUCUUUCCAGUUUUAUUUUUGUAUGAAAUAAAAUUGGUAGUUGGUUUUUUUUAGUUUGGUGAUAGUGAAAUUAAUUGAACGAUAAAUUGCAUAUUUAUUUUGCGAGUUAUCUUUCGCCGAGUUACAGAGUUUCGUACGAUCAAUGUUGCGUCGAACCACUUUAUUCAUGCGGUUUUAAAACACACGCGUAUACAUAUACAUAUAUAUAUGUAUGUGUAUAACACACAAAUUGUAUAUAUAUAUAUAUAUGUACAUAUAUAUAAUAUAUAGAUUUCGAUCUAUUCGAUUGAAGGAAUGUAACCGAGAGUGAUAUUGGUGAAAUUUUGGGGAAAACUAUUAUCUUUGCCAGGUAUAUGUUAAAAUUGUAGUGACUGUAUAUAUAUAUAAACGUGGUGACCACCAUACUACAGCAGAUGAUUCUACGGAUGCGAAAAUCAAUACUUCGUACGUGAGAUAAACGUUUUCUCUCUUAUAUCAUUAUAGUUUACUGACUAAUAUUCUUACAAAAUAUCCGAUCAAGAUUUGUGUCGAGAACAAAAUUCAAACGAAGAACGAAAUAUGUAAAAGAAACAAAAAAUAGAACGAACAUUUUUAAACGAUUCGAUCGAAAUCGAAGUCGAUUUUUAACGAAAACUCUUGUAUAAUUUUUGAUCUUACAACAAAAUUAGAAAAAAUACAA
RNAcentral lists this long non-coding RNA (1198 nucleotides) under Polistes fuscatus (common paper wasp). RNAcentral's name for it is "uncharacterized LOC122524883". Lineage: Eukaryota; Metazoa; Arthropoda; Insecta; Hymenoptera; Vespidae. The record is from RNAcentral.